This 212-nucleotide long non-coding RNA is filed under the name Elaeis guineensis (African oil palm). Its description in RNAcentral is "long non-coding RNA (EGUI_LNC082669)". Lineage: Eukaryota; Viridiplantae; Streptophyta; Magnoliopsida; Arecales; Arecaceae. The record is from RNAcentral.
CACAAUGACUUGCAAGCAACUCACUGCACUUAGGCACUGGACUACCUGAAUUUCUAAUUCAGUGACGGAAGGCUGCUGGGUGUAGUCAAGUACUUGACUUGUCGGUGCGUGUGUCAAGAUGGGAUUGACCACUCCAGUUCAGGAGCUGUGUACAGUCGUGUUUCAAUUUAGCAAAACCUUGACCAGGGUAGUCCUAGUGAGGAGUCACAGGA